Vespa velutina is the source of this 2181-nucleotide long non-coding RNA. RefSeq lists it as uncharacterized. NCBI's taxonomy places the organism in Eukaryota, Metazoa, Arthropoda, Insecta, Hymenoptera, Vespidae. The record is from RefSeq and is a predicted model, not a curated record. The transcript has 7 exons.
GACAACUACGUACACUUGCAUGAGAAUGAUCUUACGCAAUACGAUGAUACAACAAUUAAUUAAUUCAAAAAUUAAUACGUCCAUCCUAUUGGAUUUAAGCAGUAUUCAUUUUUACGCAUUCGCUUUCUGUGACAAUGAAGUUGAUCGAAAACGAAAAACUAAUGCCUAGAAAUAAAGGGCUAUUAAUUAUGCAUAUAUACACUUCCUGUAUCUGUGUAUCACUUUUGCCGAAAAUAAAAAUGUCGAAAAAUAUAUUCCCUCCCAUUUGUUUCGGCUAACAGACUUAAGAAGCUUAUCGCAAAUCACAGGAAACAAGUUGAAAUAGCAAGUUAAAUCUGAACGGAGUCACGAACACGUAUUGGAUUGCAACGUGUCGUUCAUUGAUCAUCGGUAUCGGUGAUUGAAGUGCCAAGCGCGCUUGGAAGUCUCCGAAGACUCCUGGCAUGAUGAGAACCCGAUGGACGUGGCCCACGUCGUUCUUCUUUUAGGAAGGAAUAAAGGAACCCGAAGGAAUUCUGUUUAAAAAAGGAAUCUUGAAGGCAAAAGGAUCUUUUUCGGAUAUCGUUGGUACGAUCGUGCGAAGGAUUUAGAUCUCUUUAUCUACGUGAUUGAGCACAUUAGUUGAUUUGGCUUAAGACACUGGACCAUAUUUGAAACAAUAUAGAAAUCUAGGAACUUUAAGAUUCGUGAUGUUGGCCAUCCUGUGACGAUAAAUUGGUUAUGUUGGACUUGGCGAACUAGAGAACCGAGAGGCAAUAGACAAAGGAGGAGAAAUGCCUGGAUUGUUAUUGAGACGGCUAAAUAAAGUAUUUAUGAAAUUGUAAUUAUUUAUUGAUGCGUCCAGUUAGGUUUUAUUCAUUGUGUAUAUCUAAACAUCGAUUACGCUCAACCGCGAAAGGAUUCCGCCGUCGUGCUUUUGUUCGUUAUAGUUAACAGUGUCGUGAACUUGGAAAUAUGUAAGAUAAAUUUCGCUGAUAGUCGAGCAGAAUUGACAUCUUUUCUUUGAGUUUCUACGCUCAUUCCUGGACAUUAAGCGGCGUCCUUUUACUCUAACCUUAUCCUUCAGUUUCCCUGAAUUUAAUGUGGAUUCUUUCAACAACCAUUGUCGACGUGUGGUUAGUAACCGACGUUAUCUGAAUUGGAAGGAUAGAUGCCUGAUCUUCAACGUGCAACCCAAAAUAACAUAGACGUAAUCCUUUCUAAAUGUACACAUUAAUGAGUUAAAUCCUGCAUUGGCGUUCAUUGGCUACGUGUAAAGCUUGCUGUUAUACCUGCUAUAGCAAUAGGACAUCGGUAUGCAUUUGUUUCACGAUUAAAGCAUGAAGAAUAUGUGCGUUGAUGUCAACAAGAAGGACCAUUGGAAGAACGAUACGAGUUACCACGUCAGUCUUCUUUCGAAUUCCGAGGAGUAAACCUCGAAAUAGAAUUCUCCGUAUCAUUAAAUUCAAUCAUCUUACAGAAACGACCGUUUUAUAAUUAUUUAAACAAUGUACAAUCCAUUUGGGGUACGAUAAGGUAAUAAUUAAACAAUAUUACGUUUCGUAAAGCUUCGCAUAGUUUUUCAAACGCGUUAGACAAAAUAAUUUACUUUCAAACUUUGUCAAUCGAUGGCAUCAACAAGAAGGACCAUUGGAAGCAUAAUACGAGUUACUACGUCAGUCUUCUUUCGUACUCCGAGGAAUAAAUGUUGAAAUGUACUCUCCCCAUACGGCUACAUUAAAUCAUCUUACAGAUACGUUCAAUAUCUAAUUACAAUAUAUGCGACAUGCGAUAAUGCAAUAUUUAAGGAAUACUACAUUAAGUUAAAAACCGUUUAGUUCUUAAGACCCGUUCAUAAUGGAUCCGAUAUAGAAUAAAGUAAUAUUUAAAUAAUAGUACGUUAGUAUAAAUAUUAAAAAGAUGGAAAAGAGCGAAAAAUUUUAAACAAUUGUAAUACAAAAUUACUCUACAUUAAUAAAUAAUAAUUUUAAGCCUCGUGGUAGUUGGCCUUGCGUAAUGUAAAUAUUAACUCACUUUUUCUUAACUUUAAUGAUCACCGAAUAUGUUUUCUUUCAUGCUCGAACGUCGAAGCUUUCACCUUAUAAACGCAAAAAUUUAUAAAUAAAUAUUUUCUAUAAUUGUUCAAUUAUUUGAACAAUCUACAAUGUACGCGAAAUAUAAUAAAUUAAUAUAUAAACAAUA